GCCGCGGAGCUCAGAUGGGAGCGUCAGCUUGAGAGAGCUGAAGAGGGUGGUUCGAGUCCAUCCCGCGGCGCCA
This 73-nucleotide transfer RNA is filed under the name Zoogloeaceae bacterium. Its description in RNAcentral is "tRNA-Leu". It matches the Rfam family "tRNA". Rfam says of the family: Transfer RNA (tRNA) molecules are approximately 80 nucleotides in length. Their secondary structure includes four short double-helical elements and three loops (D, anti-codon, and T loops). The record is from RNAcentral. Lineage: Bacteria; Pseudomonadati; Pseudomonadota; Betaproteobacteria; Rhodocyclales; Zoogloeaceae.